UACGUAGGUGGCAAGCGUUGUCCGGAUUUACUGGGCGUAAAGCGUGCGCAGGCGGUUUUGUAAGCCAGAUGUGAAGUCCCCGGGCUUAACCUGGGAAUGGCAUUUGGGACUGCAAGGCUGGAGUGCGGCAGAGGAGACUGGAAUUCCUGGUGUAGCGGUGGAAUGCGCAGAUAUCAGGAGGAACACCAAUAGCGAAGGCAGCUCGCUGGGACGUUACUGACACUGGAGGCGCGAAAGCGUGGGGAGCGAACAGG
RNAcentral lists this ribosomal RNA (254 nucleotides) under uncultured bacterium. RNAcentral describes it as "partial 16S ribosomal RNA". It matches the Rfam family "Bacterial small subunit ribosomal RNA", at positions 524 to 776 of the family's 1533-position model. The record is from RNAcentral.